Molecule: long non-coding RNA, 859 nt
Filed under: Marmota monax (woodchuck)
Lineage: Eukaryota; Metazoa; Chordata; Mammalia; Rodentia; Sciuridae
Source: RNAcentral
UCACUACACCAGGCCCAGCAUAGCUUCUAUUUUUGGUCUUUCCCAUGAUGUAAGUUACCGUUUUCUUCCUAUAGUGUGAAGAUUGCUCCCGGAGCAGUUGUAUGUGUAGAAAGUGAAAUCAGAGGAGAUGUUACUAUAGGUAAGAAAAUGGUUUAUUAAUGUUGUUUCUUAAGAAUUGAUGUAUUAAUCUAUUUUAGUGCUUUACAUUUAGAUAAUACCUUCUAUGUCUGUUUUAUUAGUUUCCUAAUUGUAUUGACAAAACAAUGUGUUUUCUCCUAUGUUUAAUAUUUUGAAAAGAAUAUAAUAUGGUGGAGGCCAUGUUUAAAUUUCUAGCUGAAAUACUAAUGAGACAGUGUUUAUUUAUUCAUGUAUUUGAGACAUAGAAGUUGUGUACCCAUGAUGUAUGUGCCAAGCACUGUUGGCACUAGGGAAAGAGCAGUGAACGUAACAGAGAAAAGUCCUGCCUCUGUGGAAUUUGCAUUCUAGAGUGAUUUAUUAAGAGCAUGCACCAUGGAGUCCACAAAUCUGUUAGCUUGUUCUGUACUCCUUACCUGCUAGGUUAUUUCAGACAUGUUACUUAACCUUACUAACUUUCAUUUUCUCAUCUUUGUAAUUGUGUAUAUCAAGACAAGAUUUACCUGCAUGUAAUGGUAGUUUAAGCACACAAAGAUUUUUUCUUACAUAUAAAAAGUCUAGAAGUAAAUAAUUUAGGGCUGAUCAAUUGAUUGUCCAGCAUGGAGCUCUGGUCUUACAGGCCAGGAAGUGAUGUUUGACUACCAAGAAUCACCUCGAAUGAGAAAAGGGAGGUGUGUAAACAAAAGCACAAGUACUAUAGGAGAGUCAGUUCCUUUUAAAUAGC